This 253-nucleotide ribosomal RNA is filed under the name uncultured bacterium. RNAcentral describes it as "partial 16S ribosomal RNA". It matches the Rfam family "Bacterial small subunit ribosomal RNA", at positions 524 to 776 of the family's 1533-position model. The record is from RNAcentral.
GACAGAGGGGGCAAGCGUUGCUCGGAAUCACUGGGCGUAAAGGGCGCGUAGGCGGGAUGGCAAGUCAGUCGUGAAAUCCCCCGGCUUAACCUGGGAACUGCGUCUGAUACUGGACGGCUUGAGUAUGGGAGAGGGAUGUAGAAUUCCAGGUGUAGCGGUGAAAUGCGUAGAUAUCUGGAGGAAUACCGGUGGCGAAGGCGGCAUCCUGGAUCAUUACUGACGCUGAGGCGCGAAAGCUAGGGGAGCAAACGGG